RNAcentral lists this ribosomal RNA (131 nucleotides) under Meriones unguiculatus (Mongolian gerbil). Lineage: Eukaryota; Metazoa; Chordata; Mammalia; Rodentia; Muridae. The record is from RNAcentral.
UUCUGCCCAUACCAACUUGAACUUGCCAGAUCUAAUCUGAUCUGGGAAGUUAAGCAGGGCUGGAUCUGGCUAGUACUUGGAUAUAAGAAAUAAUUUCUCAGGCCAGUGAGAUGGCUCAGCAGGUAAAGGAA